UUCCGGUUGAUCCUGCCAGAGGUCACUGCUAUCGGGGUUCGAUUAAGCCAUGCGAGUCGAGAGGGUUCGGCCCUCGGCGUACUGCUCAGUAACACGUGGAUAACCUGCCCUAGGGAAGGGGAUAACCCCGGGAAACUGGGGAUAAUACCCUAUAGGUUACAGAUGCUGGAAUGCUCUGUAACCCAAAGUUCCGGCGCCCUAGGAUGGAUCUGCGGCCGAUUAGGUUGUUGUUGGGGUAAUGGCCCAACAAGCCAGUAAUCGGUACGGGUUGUGGGAGCAAGAGCCCGGAGUUGGAUUCUGAGACACGAAUCCAGGCCCUACGGGGCGCAGCAGGCGCGAAGACUUUACAAUGCGGGCAACCGUGAUAAGGGAACCUCGAGUGCCUGUAAAUGCAGGCUGUUUAGGUGUUUAAAACGCACCUGGAGAAAGGGCCGGGCAAGACCGGUGCCAGCCGCCGCGGUAAUACCGGCGGCUCGAGUGGUGGCCACUUUUAUUGGGCUUAAAGCGUUCGUAGCUGGGUUGUUAAGUCUCUUGGGAAAUCUGGCGGCUUAACCGUCAGGCGUCUAAGGGAUACUGGCAAUCUUGGAACCGGGAGAGGUGAGGGGUACUUCGGGGGUAGGAGUGAAAUCCUGUAAUCCUCGAGGGACCACCUGUGGCGAAGGCGCCUCACCAGAACGGCUUCGACAGUGAGGGACGAAAGCUGGGGGAGCAAACCGGAUUAGAUACCCGGGUAGUCCCAGCCGUAAACGAUGCGCGUUAGGUGUAUCGGUGACCACGAGUCACCGAGGUGCCGAAGGGAAACCGUGAAACGUGCCGCCUGGGAAGUACGGUCGCAAGGCUGAAACUUAAAGGAAUUGGCGGGAA
RNAcentral lists this ribosomal RNA (864 nucleotides) under uncultured archaeon. RNAcentral describes it as "bacterial SSU rRNA". It matches the Rfam family "Archaeal small subunit ribosomal RNA", at positions 1 to 874 of the family's 1478-position model. The record is from RNAcentral.